RNAcentral lists this microRNA precursor (83 nucleotides) under Drosophila yakuba. RNAcentral's name for it is "microRNA dya-mir-2b precursor (dya-mir-2b-2)". Its record names the gene dya-mir-2b-2. It matches the Rfam family "mir-2 microRNA precursor family". Rfam says of the family: The miRNAs are transcribed as ~70nt precursors (modelled here) and subsequently processed by the Dicer enzyme to give a ~22nt product. In this case the mature sequence comes from the 3' arm of the precursor. The record is from miRBase by way of RNAcentral. Lineage: Eukaryota; Metazoa; Arthropoda; Insecta; Diptera; Drosophilidae.
UUGUGUCAUUCUUCAAAGUGGUUGUGAAAUGUUUGCCUUUUUCUGCCUAUUCAUAUCACAGCCAGCUUUGAGGAGCGACGCGA